RNAcentral lists this long non-coding RNA (563 nucleotides) under Aquilegia coerulea. RNAcentral describes it as "long non-coding RNA (ACOE_LNC000077)". The record is from RNAcentral. Lineage: Eukaryota; Viridiplantae; Streptophyta; Magnoliopsida; Ranunculales; Ranunculaceae.
AGAAUGGUAUGCUAACUUCCUAUGUGACACACUAAGAAAACAGUUAAACAGGAGUGGAAAAUAGUAAUUGACAUGGUUAAUGGAAAGAGGUCCCCCAUUAAUACUGUUCAUCCAAAGUUUUUCUUGCCAUAAUUAGUGAUCAACUGAAAAGUUAGCCACUUAGAUCCACAUGAAUCACCAAGAGAUACCUAUUAGAGUUUCAUCCAAGCUUUCAAUUUUCAGAUCUGGUGUAAGACAAACACACUCUUUGUCAUCUUUCUCAUCUUUAGAUCUUUGGAGUCAUAUGCUUGAAUUGAUCAGACUGAAUAGUACAACAGCAGCUUGCUAGUCAAAUUAAUCAUUCAUCCUACAUACCCAGUUCAUUAGAGUAGAAAGUGGGAAUCUGUUGCAACUUUGUCUACAUCACCUACUAAUCAAAUCGUUAGUAUAGUGAUUCUAAAGGGCAGAAACUUUGAGGAUUUUUAGGUUUCCGGCGGUUUCUUAACAGUUUUUCGACGACCUUAGGAAUAUUUUUCGGCGCCACUUCAAAGUUUUGAUCAGAAUUUUUUUUUUUUUGGGGGGGG